RNAcentral lists this transfer RNA (73 nucleotides) under Pteropus alecto (black flying fox). It matches the Rfam family "tRNA". From Rfam's summary of the family: Transfer RNA (tRNA) molecules are approximately 80 nucleotides in length. Their secondary structure includes four short double-helical elements and three loops (D, anti-codon, and T loops). The record is from Rfam by way of RNAcentral. Lineage: Eukaryota; Metazoa; Chordata; Mammalia; Chiroptera; Pteropodidae.
GGCUGCAGAGUAUAGUGCUUAGCACAUUUGCUUUACACGCAAAAAGUCUGGGUUCACGCCCCAGGUGGAGCCA